RNAcentral lists this unclassified non-coding RNA (21 nucleotides) under Mus musculus (house mouse). RNAcentral describes it as "oocyte_clustered_small_RNA11398". Lineage: Eukaryota; Metazoa; Chordata; Mammalia; Rodentia; Muridae. The record is from RNAcentral.
CGGGCGCUGGGACAGAACAAG